RNAcentral lists this ribosomal RNA (468 nucleotides) under uncultured bacterium. RNAcentral describes it as "partial 16S ribosomal RNA". It matches the Rfam family "Bacterial small subunit ribosomal RNA", at positions 28 to 507 of the family's 1533-position model. The record is from RNAcentral.
GACGAACGCUGGCGGCGUGCUUAACACAUGCAAGUCGAACGGAAAGGCCCUGCUUUUGUGGGGUGCUCGAGUGGCGAACGGGUGAGUAACACGUGAGUAACCUGCCCUUGACUUUGGGAUAACUUCAGGAAACUGGGGCUAAUACCGGAUAGGAGCUCCUGCUGCAUGGUGGGGGCUGGAAAGUUUCGGCGGUUGGGGAUGGACUCGCGGCUUAUCAGCUUGUUGGUGGGGUAGUGGCUUACCAAGGCUUUGACGGGUAGCCGGCCUGAGAGGGUGACCGGCCACAUUGGGACUGAGAUACGGCCCAGACUCCUACGGGAGGCAGCAGGGGGGAAUAUUGCACAAUGGGCGGAAGCCUGAUGCAGCAACGCCGCGUGCGGGAUGAAGGCCUUCGGGUUGUAAACCGCUUUCGCCUGUGACGAAGCGUGAGUGACGGUAAUGGGUAAAGAAGCACCGGCUAACUACGUG